RNAcentral lists this long non-coding RNA (240 nucleotides) under Volvox carteri. Its description in RNAcentral is "long non-coding RNA (VCAR_LNC000980)". The record is from RNAcentral. Lineage: Eukaryota; Viridiplantae; Chlorophyta; Chlorophyceae; Chlamydomonadales; Volvocaceae.
UCAAAAGAUCGGGCACCUGCGUGUCCAGGCACCUAGAGCUUUCCAUUUUGACCUCGCGCUUGAUGAUGAAAUGGUUAGGACUGUUAGGAAGCGAUGUUACCCGGGGAACUAACAACCAAGUCGGUCACUAGCCGUACAGGCACAGCGGGCUGUUCACCCUAACCCACAGACGCAAAGUUGCCUUAGUCCCCAACCGCGCCACGAUGAGCCUGGCACCAGGGGCCUAGCACUAACCAGAGA